AAGAAAUAACUCAUUCUCACUUCACUAGUAUCAGUUAGGGUUAGGGUUUUGGCGAUUCUGAGCCUCACAGAGGCAUGCCUCCUCAAUCACCAGGUUUACUUCCUGCAAGGAAAUAACUCUUUGGAAUGAGUAACCUCGGAAAAUUAUAAAUAUAAGAAUGAGUAAUCAAUCAAACAUAAGUGGUGGGUUGAGGAAGGAUAGAUGUGUUUGGACUGCACAAAUGGAUGAUAUUUUUGCAGAUGCGUAUAAUCAAUUUGUGAAAAGGAAUAUGAUUGAUGGCACAUUUACAACAAAAGCUUAUAUUGAGAUUGUUCACGAAUUGAAACAAAGACUAGGUAUCGAUAUCAACAAAGAUAAAGUGAAGAAUCGAUUGAAAACAAUCAAGAAAAUAUUUAACGAGUGUUUUGACUUAUUCAAAACUGGUUUGAGUGGGUUUGCUUGGAGUGAAGUAACAAAAAUGUGGAAUGCUGAACUUGAAGUUUGGGCUUCUUUAAUUGAGCAGCUGAGAAAUGGAAGACUACUCCAAUUUCCAAUUAUGUUGUAUUUAUUUGCCAAGGAUAGGGCAACUGGGUCUAAUGCAGCAACUGCUAAUGAGAGGAUUAAUGAUUGGGCAACAAAAGGAAAACUGAAGAGUAAUGAAUGGGAGUCAAGUCCUAAUGAUGAUCUGAUAGAGACCAUUGAUGGUAUUGAUCACAUGCUGUCACGGAAUGAAGAAGGAUAAAUAAUAAGCUGACAAUGAAACGAACGGUUAGUGAAGUGGAAAAAGUGAGUGAACAAAAUACUGAAGCUUCAACUUCAAAAAUCAUCCCAACCACCGCUAAAGAAGAGAUGGGGCCCGACACGAUGCAAGAAUGUUGUAAACGCGACAACCUUAUUACCAUUAAGGGUUAAUAAGUAUGGACAACCGAUUGGCCAUGGAAGUGGUACAUAUACUAAUUAUUUGGGAACACUUGCCUGGAAUGGUAAAUUAGCUCCUUUGUGCUACAAAACUUGGUGGGAGAUGCCUAAACGGCUUAAAGAGGAUAUGUGGAACAUUGUAAAGGAAAGUAUGAUGUGGGAAUCAUGUCAAAACAGUGGACAUUAUCCUCCAUCGGAAAAAAAUGGAGGGGGUACAAGUGUGAAUUAAAAAGUGAAUGCUACUCGGUUAGAGAUACAGAUGUAGAAAGAUUGGCAAACCCACCACCUGAUGUUGAAAAGGAGCAUUGGGAAUUUUGGUUAGGCAUUGGGGUACGCCUAUGGCGUAGGAGGUCAGCGAAAAAAACAAAGAACGUCGUGGGAAGCAGACAAUGAUGCAUACUACAGCGACAAAAAGCUUUGCGCAUGUUUCUGCCGAGAUUGAGGAAAACGAAGGUAUUCAACUUUCCCGUGCAAAUUUAUUCAUUCGCACACAUAUAAAUAAAGAUGGCAAUGCUACUGAUGCUGCUGCUUCGGAGAUGAUUGGGGUCAUCAAUUUUUAAAUCAUCGGCCCGUGUGGAGGCAUUUUAAUUUCAUUGUUCAGCGGCCCGUGUGGAGGAAAGCAUAAAAGAACUUCAAAAAAGUUACUUUGACUCGCCUAUUGGCAGUUCCAAUGAUUUGUUCUCCGUUGUGAGGGGAGAAGAGAGAACUGGUCGUGUGCGGAUGCUUGGCUUCGGGCCUACACCAAGCGAUGUUUGGGGGUCCUCUCCUAGUAAAGCUGAACUGAUUAAUAAUGCCAAAAAAUCUGAUGAGGAGGUACGUGCUGCACGUGUAGAGUUGCAGGAGACCAUUUCAAAAAUGCAAGCCGACUAUGACAGGAAGUUGGAAAAUUUACCAUCCAACUAUGACGACAAGUUGGAAAAUUUACAACAAUAGGUGGCUAUGCUAAUGCAGAUGCAACAACAAAAUUGUAGUGGACAGGGUUCUGAUUCUUUAAAUGCUCUUCCUAGAGUAUCUCCAAAUUCAUUUUCUAGUCGUGAUGCCAAUUCAGUUAAAGGGUAAUUCAAAUCAAAUGGGCAAGAAGACUUGUUGAAGUUGAAGCUGAAGAUGGGGUUGUGGCUAUGCUUUUUGAAUUUCCUUCGCCUUGGAUGGGUUCUUUUUGAAAAACUUGUACUACAUUUGCCAAAAAUUCUUAAUUCUUUUUGUAUGACAUUUAUCUAGACAAUUUGGAUCGUAUUUUCAUAUUGGCAGGUUAACUUGUGGUUGUAUUAAUAUAUAUUUUCGCUUUUUGGUUGACA
Cornus florida is the source of this 2192-nucleotide long non-coding RNA. RefSeq lists it as uncharacterized. The record is from RefSeq and is a predicted model, not a curated record. Lineage: Eukaryota; Viridiplantae; Streptophyta; Magnoliopsida; Cornales; Cornaceae. The transcript has 13 exons.